RNAcentral lists this transfer RNA (76 nucleotides) under Rhodospirillales bacterium. RNAcentral's name for it is "tRNA-Lys". It matches the Rfam family "tRNA". Rfam says of the family: Transfer RNA (tRNA) molecules are approximately 80 nucleotides in length. Their secondary structure includes four short double-helical elements and three loops (D, anti-codon, and T loops). Lineage: Bacteria; Pseudomonadati; Pseudomonadota; Alphaproteobacteria; Rhodospirillales. The record is from RNAcentral.
GGGCGAUUAGCUCAGUUGGUAGAGCAGCUGACUCUUAAUCAGCGGGUCGACGGUUCGAGCCCGUCAUCGCCCACCA